This 497-nucleotide ribosomal RNA is filed under the name uncultured bacterium. RNAcentral describes it as "partial 16S ribosomal RNA". It matches the Rfam family "Bacterial small subunit ribosomal RNA", at positions 28 to 507 of the family's 1533-position model. The record is from RNAcentral.
GAUGAACGCUGGCGGCGUGCCUAAUACAUGCAAGUCGAGCGAACAGACGAGGAGCUUGCUCCUCUGACGUUAGCGGCGGACGGGUGAGUAACACGUGGAUAACCUACAUAUAAGACUGGGAUAACUUCGGGAAACCGGAGCUAAUACCGGAUAAUAUAUUGAACCGCAUGGUUCAUUAGUGAAAGACGGUUUUGCUGUCACUUAUAGAUGGAUCCGCGCCGCAUUAGCUAGUUGGUAAGGUAACGGCUUACCAAGGCGACGAUGCGUAGCCGACCUGAGAGGGUGAUCGGCCACACUGGAACUGAGACACGGUCCAGACUCCUACGGGAGGCAGCAGUAGGGAAUCUUCCGCAAUGGGCGAAAGCCUGACGGAGCAACGCCGCGUGAGUGAUGAAGGUCUUCGGAUCGUAAAACUCUGUUAUUAGGGAAGAACAAAUGUGUAAGUAACUAUGCACGUCUUGACGGUACCUAAUCAGAAAGCCACGGCUAACUACGUG